UUUUUAUAUAUUUAUUUAUUAAGAGCAAAAUUGAAGAGUUUUAUUAAAAUAGGUAUUUUUUUUAUGAAAAUAGUUUUUUAUACUGUGAAGGAAAUAUGAAAAUAGUGAAAUAUUUUAAAAAUUAAAAAAGUAUAAGUAAGUAAGUACCUUUUGCAUUAGGGUUUUUUAAAAAAAUUAAUUGAUUUUAAUUUCCCGAAAUUAAAAUGAUCUAUUGAAAUAGAAUUUUUAUGUUGAAUUAUAGGGAUAAAUUUUUUAAUAGAAAUGAAAUUUUUUUCAUAUUUAAGGAUAUCUGGUUAUUAAAAUAAGAUUAUAUGUCUAAUUAUUAAGGUUUAUUAAAGUUAAUUUUAUAAUAAUAUUUGUAUAGAGGGAUAAGCUUUUAUAUUUUUUUUAAGUUAGUUUUAUUAUUGAAAUAAGGAAUAAAAUUUUCUUUAUCUUAUAAUAAAGAAUUUAAUACAGGGAGAUUUAAACUAAAAUUUUUUAGUGAUUAAAAUAAUUUUUAUUUAUUGAAAAUAUAAGAAGAUUAGUAAAAGAUAAUUAUAUUUUUAUUACUUUAAAUAUAAUUUUGUGAAUUAAGUUAAAUUAAAUUAAAGGAAUUCGGCAAAUUCAUUUAGUUGACUGUUUAACAAAAACAUUUCAUUUUGUGAUAAUAAAAUGUAUAAUCUGCUCAAUGAGAUUUAAAUUGCUGUGGUAUUUUGACUAUACGAAGGUAUUGAAAUAAGGCUUUAAAUGGGUGCUAAGAGAAUGGUUGAACAAUUAUAAGCUUUCUUUAAUUAAUAAAUUGAAUUUAAUUUUUUUGUGAAGAAGCAAAAAUAGUGAUUAGGGACAAGAAGACCCUAUGAAUUUUAGUAUUAGGUUUAAGGCUAAAAUUUGCAAUAAAUUUAAUUUGAUUGGGGCGAUAAAAAAAGAAUAGUUAUCUUUUUUUAGAAUUAAUUUGAUCCAUUAAUAAUGAUUAAAUGAAAAAAAUACUCUAGGGAUAACAGCGUAAUAAUUUCGGAUAGUUCUUAUAGAUGAAAUAGUUUGCGACCUCGAUGUUGGAUUAGGAUACUUUUUUGGUGAAGAAAUUAAUUGUAAGAAGUUUGUUCAACUUUUAAAUUCCUACAUGAUCUGAGUUCAGACCGGCGAGAGCCAGGUUGGUUUCUAUCUUAAUAAUAAAUUAAAAUUUUUUUAGUACGAAAGGAAUAAGAAAUAUUAAUUAAGUUAAUAUAAUU
Molecule: ribosomal RNA, 1208 nt
Filed under: Ixodes ovatus
Lineage: Eukaryota; Metazoa; Arthropoda; Arachnida; Ixodida; Ixodidae
Description: 16S ribosomal RNA
Rfam family: Archaeal large subunit ribosomal RNA (bases 817-1146)
Source: RNAcentral